GCUGUGGAAGAUGGCAUCACAGAUGACAUCUUGUACAGUGAUGUUAAAAUAUCAAGUCAUCAACAGCCAAAAAAACAAAACGAAGACAGUGAUGCAGCAGUAAUCUACUCAGCAGUGAGAACAGAAGACAUCAGUUAUGGUCGAAUCAUCAUCAAAAACACGAAAACCAGAUCACAGAUCAGAGACUUUAAACCAGAGCCAGAUGCCAUCUACUCUUUA
Molecule: long non-coding RNA, 219 nt
Organism: Oreochromis niloticus (Nile tilapia)
Lineage: Eukaryota; Metazoa; Chordata; Actinopteri; Cichliformes; Cichlidae
Exons: 3
Source: RefSeq, a predicted model, not a curated record